This 253-nucleotide ribosomal RNA is filed under the name uncultured bacterium. RNAcentral's name for it is "partial 16S ribosomal RNA". It matches the Rfam family "Bacterial small subunit ribosomal RNA", at positions 524 to 776 of the family's 1533-position model. RNAcentral also lists the same sequence under 1 other name. The record is from RNAcentral.
UACGGAGGAUCCAAGCGUUAUCCGGAAUCAUUGGGUUUAAAGGGUCUGUAGGCGGUCUUGUAAGUCAGUGGUGAAAGCCCAUCGCUCAACGGUGGAACGGCCAUUGAUACUGCUGGACUUGAAUUAUUGGGAAGCAACUAGAAUAUGUAGUGUAGCGGUGAAAUGCUUAGAGAUUACAUGGAAUACCAAUUGCGAAGGCAGGUUGCUACCAAUGGAUUGACGCUGAUGGACGAAAGCGUGGGUAGCGAACAGG